CGGUUGGACACCAAGCCUCUGUAAAGCUCCUUCGACGAGUCGAGUAGUUUGGGAAUGCUGCUCUAAAUGGGAGGUAAAUUUCUUCUAAAGCUAAAUACCGGCCAGAGACCGAUAGCGCACAAGUAGAGUGAUCGAAAGAUGAAAAGUACUUUGAAAAGAGGGUUAAAUAGCACGUGAAAUUGUUGAAAGGGAAGCGUUUAUGACCAGACCUUCGCCGGGCGGAUCAUCCGGUGUUCUUCACCGGUGCACUUCGCCCGGCUUAGGCCAGCAUCGGUUUUCGCAGGGGGAUAAAGGCCCCGGGAACGUAGCUCCCUCCGGGGAGUGUUAUAGCCCGGGACGUAAUACCCUUGCGGGGACCGAGGUUCGCGGAUGCUG
The sequence is a ribosomal RNA, 375 nucleotides long. It matches the Rfam family "Eukaryotic large subunit ribosomal RNA", at positions 226 to 628 of the family's 3401-position model.